GAUGAGCGCUGGCGGCGUGCCUAAUACAUGCAAGUCGAGCGGUAACAGGUCUAGUUUACUAGAUGCUGACGAGCGGCGGACGGCUGAGUAACACGUAGGAACGUACCCCAAAGUGAGGGAUAACUGCUCGAAAGAGUAGCUAAUACCGCAUGUGAUCUAAGGAUUAAAGCUUUAUGCGCUUUGGGAACGGCCUGCGUUCGAUUAGCUAGUUGGUGAGGUAAUAGCUCACCAAGGCGAUGAUCGAUAGCUGGUCUGAGAGGAUGAUCAGCCAGACUGGGACUGAGACACGGCCCAGACUCCUACGGGAGGCAGCAGUAGGGAAUUUUCCACAAUGGACGAAAGUCUGAUGGAGCAACGCCGCGUGCAGGAUGAAGGCUC
RNAcentral lists this ribosomal RNA (378 nucleotides) under uncultured bacterium. Its description in RNAcentral is "bacterial SSU rRNA". It matches the Rfam family "Bacterial small subunit ribosomal RNA", at positions 28 to 417 of the family's 1533-position model. The record is from RNAcentral.